AACGAACGCUGGCGGCAUGCCUAACACAUGCAAGUCGAACGAGACCUUCGGGUCUAGUGGCGCACGGGUGCGUAACGCGUGGGAACCUGCCCUUAGGUUCGGAAUAACUCCCCGAAAGGGGUGCUAAUACCGGAUAAUGUCUUCGGACCAAAGAUUUAUCGCCUUUGGAUGGGCCCGCGUUGGAUUAGCUAGUUGGUAGGGUAAAAGCCUACCAAGGCGACGAUCCAUAGCUGGUCUGAGAGGAUGAUCAGCCACACUGGGACUGAGACACGGCCCAGACUCCUACGGGAGGCAGCAGUGGGGAAUAUUGGACAAUGGGCGAAAGCCUGAUCCAGCAAUGCCGAGUGAGUGAUGAAGGACUUAGGGUUGUAAAGCUCUUUUACCCGGGAUGAUAAUGACAGUACCGGGAGAAUAAGCUCCGGCUAACUCCGUG
Molecule: ribosomal RNA, 433 nt
Filed under: uncultured bacterium
Lineage: Bacteria
Description: partial 16S ribosomal RNA
Rfam family: Bacterial small subunit ribosomal RNA
Source: RNAcentral